RNAcentral lists this long non-coding RNA (556 nucleotides) under Pongo abelii (Sumatran orangutan). RNAcentral's name for it is "lincRNA". The record is from RNAcentral. Lineage: Eukaryota; Metazoa; Chordata; Mammalia; Primates; Hominidae.
GAAAAUUGUCAACCACUCCUUCCUUAGGGGGUAAAAGCAACAUUCAGCACCGGGGGCAGGUCAAGGCGAGGCUGGCUCCCAUCUCCAGGCCCCAAGGAGCCACACCUGGACCAGACCCCAGGAAAGGCAAGGGCACUAGCUAGUGGGAGCCACCCCUGCUACGCUGAUGCUGGAGAAGCAAGAACUCUGGAGAAGCAGCCUCCUGGGACCAGAGGGGGGCCAGCAGCAGGCAGCUCGGCUACAGAACUCUCACCCACGCCUCUCCAAGCCUCCCGACAGAAGACAGAGGUCCCCCACAGCCCAGAGACAUUUCCUGAAGACAUGGGGACCACAGAGGCAGAAACAGCCCAUCCACCCAGGAGCUGCCCCCCACGCUGCCGGGAGCCAGCACCCAGAGCCGCCAGAUAAAACUGAGGCCACCUGGUUCAACAUUGCCUUUCACAGAAGGGGAAACAGCCACAGAAAGAAGGGCCUGGUAAGAAGUGGAACCUGGGACCCCCAAGCGGUGUCUCUCAUCCUGACUGGGGAUCCAGAGUAGGAGGGAGCCUUUGGUGGG